Molecule: long non-coding RNA, 766 nt
Filed under: Medicago truncatula (barrel medic)
Lineage: Eukaryota; Viridiplantae; Streptophyta; Magnoliopsida; Fabales; Fabaceae
Description: long non-coding RNA (MTRU_LNC004727)
Source: RNAcentral
CCGUUUAUCCAAAGAGGUCCUUAAGGCAUUUAUAGCACAAAUUAACUGAAAAAAAUUCUUUAUAUAAAAUACUGCAUCAUAAGUCUGCAGACAGAACACAUCCCUGCAUAACCUCACUUUCGAUUCUUCUUCCACAUAAUUUUUUUCCAUAUUAAAGCAUUUUAAAGCGAAACAUUUCAUUUAUACUGUGUUUACAACAUUUCUUUAAAAAAAAGUGUUAACAACAUCCAGACUCCUAACUAUAUAAAAUGAGAGCACCAUCCACCAAUUGACAGUAAAACAGUAGGACUAGGAAUGUAGCAUAGUAUUUAAAAUAAGAGAAAUGAUAUUUGUACAACCAUUUUGUGACAACUUUUAUACAACUUUCUCUCUCAUACUCACAUUAUAUUCUUACUAUCUCUCUUCCUUUUUCUCUCCAUUAUUUUUGACCAAUAAAAUGAAAGAAAAGGGAGGUUGCAUAAAAGUUGUUAGCAAAUGGUUGUUCAAAUAUCAUUGCUCUUAAAAUAAACUAGUAAUAAUACUUUUGAUUUCAUAAACAAUUACGAAUGCAAUAAACACUUAUAUUUUUGGAUUGCAGCAUACGUUUUAGAAAAUCAGUAAAUAAAUUCUGAAUUCCGAUACUGGCAACAGUGAAAAUUAAACAUCAAAGAUUGUGAAGCUAACUGAAGAACUAGGUUAACAUCCAGAGCAGAAGCUCUGAAUGUAAACCCAUAUCCAUAUCUACGUGAAUAGGAUUUUCGUACCACAUCAAUUGGUACAAACACAG